CCUUUAGCUCAGUUGGUCAGAGCAUCUGACUCAUAAUCAGGGGGUCGUUGGUUCAAGCCCAACAAGG
RNAcentral lists this transfer RNA (67 nucleotides) under uncultured Bacteroides sp. It matches the Rfam family "tRNA". From Rfam's summary of the family: Transfer RNA (tRNA) molecules are approximately 80 nucleotides in length. Their secondary structure includes four short double-helical elements and three loops (D, anti-codon, and T loops). The record is from RNAcentral. Lineage: Bacteria; Pseudomonadati; Bacteroidota; Bacteroidia; Bacteroidales; Bacteroidaceae.